Non-coding RNA from Monodelphis domestica (gray short-tailed opossum), 1272 nucleotides. The record is from RefSeq and is a predicted model, not a curated record. Lineage: Eukaryota; Metazoa; Chordata; Mammalia; Didelphimorphia; Didelphidae.
UAUAAUGUAAAAAUAGUAAAAGAAGAGAAAUGUAGGAAAGAAGUAGACAAUACUGUCUAGCUAGAUACCAUAUAAUUGCUGUCUGAAGAAGUCCAGCUCAUCACCUGGCAAGGGCUCCCUCAAGUCUGGAUCUCCACGUGGAGUCAUGGCAGUCUUUUCAGUCAGAAGUCCUGGUGGUGUCUUCAGCAAAGGUUCCACCAGUGCAAGCCUCUUCCUUCAGCUCCAGUCACUCACCCAGCAAGCCUCUCCAGAGCAGAAAGCUCCAGUCCAGGAAUAGUCCCAGAAAAAUGACUGUCUGGCUCACCAACCCAGAAUAAAUGAAUGAAUCCAUCCUUGGGCUGACCUUUUUAAGCAGUUUUCUCAGAGUCUCUUCCUGUCUCUUCCCCUCUUCACAGGAACUAAUCAUAGCCUUUGUGAAAUUUAGAUUUACUACAUCCUGCUUAGUCUUUAAAAUUUUAGCAACCAGGAAUGUAUACAUCCCCACUUAAGGAUUAAGUGUUGGGGAGGAUGGUCUAUGACCCAUGUGCUAGCAAGUGACAAGUCAGAAACAAAUGACUGACCCUCUUGGCUGAAGCCUCUGAAGCCAAGUUUAAGCCACCAUUGGUAUAUGUGAGACACAGGAAGUGAUGUAAAGAAACUGACUUUAUAUUUUGUAUCACUUCCUGUGAGAGGGACUUGGGCAGUGGUACUUGACUUGGAGGAGAGCUCCAGUAUGGGACCUCACACUGCUUCCCUUAGAUGACCAUGGGGGGAAGAAACUGAGGCUCAUGGUCCCAGAAGUAAUAAGCAUUAGAGGCAGAAUUUGAAUCCAGUAAGCCACAAGAUUGCAAAUGAAAAUGGGGAGCCAGCCUGGUUGGUUGAGAGGAACAGAAGCAUUUCAAGUUGCUCUGUGGUGGCAUUUGUUUCUAAUCAAGACGGGAAGUGCUGUGGUGGAAAACAUCGCUUAACAGAAGAAUGCUGGGGCAGAUCUCAUGGGAACCUCUGGGAACAAUCAAAACUGCCUGUUUAAGAAGCAGAGUUUCCUGAUAUACUUUGAGGAUACCUCAUAUUAUCUUUUUUGAGAUACCAUUUUAGGAAUGAAUGCUGGCCUGCAUCCAUAAUUUAUCUACAUUAAAAAAUGUAAUAUCUGCAAGGAAGACAUAAUCUCUGGAUUGCAUAGAAUCCAUGUAUAGAGGAAAAUAGGAGCAAGAUAGUGGCAUUUUUCUGAUUUUAGGCAGAUGUUUGAUGAAGAAGAGAUAUGAUGAAAGGCAAAGUCCUACACUGACCCUAUUC